UCUGCCACCAAGUGCUCCUGUCUGGGUGCCUAGGGCAGGGCUGCGGGACAACUCCUGGGGACUUUACUUCCCUCAUCUCUGGCAGACCCCAAGUAUGGACUAGUGGGGACUCCCCAUCCAUGAUCUCAAUCACUCCCCAAGUAAGCACUCCUGGGGACUCUCCUUCCCUGAUCACAAUCACUCCCCAAGUAAGGACUUCUGUGGACUCCCAUCCUUGAUCUCAAUCACUACCCAAGUAAGGACCUCUGGGGACUCCCAUCUCUGAUCUCAAUCACUCUCCAAGUAAGGACUUCUGGGGACUCCCCAUCCUUGAUCUCAAUCACUCCCCAAGUAAGAACUCCUGGAGACUUUUCUUCACUGAUCUCAAUCACUCCCCAAGUAAGGUCUCCUGGGGACUCCCCAUCCCUGACCUUAACUAGACCCCAAGUAAGGGCUCCUGGGGAAGCUCCUUCCCUGAUCUCAAUUAUACCCCAAGAAAGGUCUCCUGUAAACUAUCCUUCCCUGAUCACAAUCAUACCGCAAGAAAGGACUCCGGCAGGCUAUCCUUCUCUGAUCUAACAGACCCCUAGAACAUGACUUGCACAAGCCCGGUUGAAAAUGGGGAAGUUCUGUUUGAAGAAGACAAUGCAAACCGCACCCUGACCAGAAUUACUUCUUCAUGACCCAUGACGUCACCAUCUGAGGAACAUCCAUCAGUCCGUCCCAGUCCUGAGUUCGUGGCUUGUUUUAAGUUGCCUGUGAGUGUUCAGCAGGACACAGGCAGCUAAAGCAAGUCUGGAAAGCAGGAGACCACACAGCCAUGGACAUCGAAACUGCUAACACCCCUGACCACGACCAGUGGACGACUAGUCCACCACAACACCACCUGGUCAUCUUCUUAGCACAUAAGACAAUGCUACAGCUCUAUGCACUAAAAGAACACUCAACCAGAGACAAGGAACACAUUAAAAACAGUUACUAACAGCUUAUAUGUCAUGUUUUCUACAAAUUCUACAAUUCUUGCAAACUAAACGCUAUAGCUUACUAAUCAUGAUUGAGCUGUAUAAGAACCUUCUAGAGACGGUCGAUAGCAGAUGUAGCUCCACCACCCUCAGUGCGAGAAUAUGGGAGAGUCUG
Long non-coding RNA from Pelobates fuscus (common spadefoot toad), 1116 nucleotides. RefSeq lists it as uncharacterized. The record is from RefSeq and is a predicted model, not a curated record. NCBI's taxonomy places the organism in Eukaryota, Metazoa, Chordata, Amphibia, Anura, Pelobatidae. The transcript is spliced from 3 exons.